GGUAUUUCAAUGAAUGAAUGAGUGUAUGAAAAUGACUGUAUUUGUUUUAAGACUAUAAUCAGGAAUGCUAAUGAUUUACCCAAAUUUGCUGUCUACAGUUUGCUGGUCCAUAAGUAGGCUAUAAAGAUAUAACCAGUCAAGCCACUGGUUGUUUAAUCACAAUCUCUUGAUCUGUACUAUAGGGUAAUUGCAUGCAUAGACACUCAUGUAAGUUUUGAGGCCUUUGAGCAGACUAUUUUGACAGCAGUACCAUCAUUCUCCUACCUCCAGCUGGCAAUUACUUACUACUUUUGGUGAACUCCCAUCCUUGGAGCUACACUCAUCUUUUGAGGGUUAUAAAGGGGGCGGGUGAGACUUCUUUUGGUUUUUUAACUUUGCUGAUGGCAACACUUCAAUCAGUCUUGAAAAUGUCUCACAUUGUUGCUUAGUAAUGUUUGCUACCUCUAAUCUUACACUGAUUAUGCUUGAUAAGCCAGCAAUGUAUAUGGUCAUGUGAAAAUCUUAAAUGGUCUUUUAAUGUUUAAAGGUUAUAAUGAGAGAGAGAGAGAGAGAGAGAGAGAGAGAGAGAGAGAGAGAGAGAGAGAGAGAGAGAAAGUGCAUAUCCAACCCCUCGGAAAAUCCCCUAAUUUCACCAAGCCCUGUCUUGUUUGACCUCCCUGUCAUUUGGGUUUCGACAGCAUGUGGCUUCUGACAGUUUGAGUUUAGCUCAGCAGCUUAGAGGGGGUCUUCUUGGACAUUAGAGGACAUGUGUCCACAACCAGGAGCCCACGCCUGACACCAGCAGAAAGAGAAGCCUGUUGACGACUAAUUUCCAGCAGCGGGAUAUUACCAAGGAGGAUACCACCAUCCCACAGUGCGGGUCAGUCACCUCAGGACCCAUGCUGCCUUUCUACGUCCUUUGACCAGAACAGGCUCCAUAACUGUUCCUGUUGCACCAGAUCAGAAGCAUCUGUGGACAACAACAAUAAAAUACCCAACAGGAACCUGGCGUCAUACAGUUCACCCCCUACCUCUUAGCCCUGAGGUGUGUGUAUGCCAUCAUUGCAGGUGUUUACCUCCAAACCAACCCGAAGAACCCCUGCCAUGGCAACACAAUCACACACUAUGUGGUCAACACAGGAAAUGCAAAUGCAAACACCUGAGUGAAUACCUCAGGGAACAAUUAAUUUAAGGAUUAGCAUUAAUGAAGUAAUGUUCUGCUUGUUUGUUUAACAACAUAUAACCAACUUGAUUGUGUAUGUUUUAUUUAGUUUAGUUUGGAUUACUUCUAAAAUAAACUUUUAUACAUUAAUAAAGAA
Molecule: long non-coding RNA, 1298 nt
Organism: Cyprinus carpio carpio
Lineage: Eukaryota; Metazoa; Chordata; Actinopteri; Cypriniformes; Cyprinidae
Source: Ensembl